RNAcentral lists this ribosomal RNA (377 nucleotides) under Muribaculaceae bacterium Isolate-002 (NCI). RNAcentral describes it as "bacterial SSU rRNA". It matches the Rfam family "Bacterial small subunit ribosomal RNA", at positions 326 to 701 of the family's 1533-position model. Lineage: Bacteria; Pseudomonadati; Bacteroidota; Bacteroidia; Bacteroidales; Muribaculaceae. The record is from RNAcentral.
ACGGACCAGACUCCACCGGGAAGAAUUAGUGGAGAAUAUAGGUGAGAGGGAGGGACCAUAAUCCAGCCCAGUCGCGUAAGGGAAGUCGGCACUACGGGCUGUAAAACUCUUUUGUCAGGGAGAAAGAACGGCUACGUGUAUCCGAGCGAGAGUACCUGAAGAAAAAGCAUCGGCUAACACCGUGCCAGCAGCCGCGGUAAUACGGAGGAUGCGAGCGUUGCGUUGAUUAAUUGGUUUUAAAUGGUGUGUAUGCGGACUACCAAGUAUGCUGUAAAAUUGAUGGUCUCAGCCGCUUCGAUCCGUUGACACUGGUGUUCUUUAGUGGGCGAGUAGUAUGCGGAUUGAGAGGAGUAGCGGUGGAAUGCUGAGUUAUUACG